Acinonyx jubatus (cheetah) is the source of this 1023-nucleotide long non-coding RNA. RefSeq lists it as uncharacterized. The transcript is spliced from 3 exons. NCBI's taxonomy places the organism in Eukaryota, Metazoa, Chordata, Mammalia, Carnivora, Felidae. The record is from RefSeq and is a predicted model, not a curated record.
CGGCGGCGGCGGCCGCCCUGGCCCGCGGGACUGGGCUUCUGCGGGGGCCUCCCGGCCGGGCGCCCCCGGAGGACUUAGGGCCGGAGCCCGCUCCGGGCACGGCUGGCUGCGCGCCGCCUAGCGCGGCCGGGCUAGAGGCGCGGCGACCCAGCUGCCCGGUCCCAGCCCCGGCCUUGGGGACAGGCGGGCACAGCUCCCCCAGCCCGCCGCUUCGGGCACUGCAGCACCGCCCUGGCCGCCCCGCCUCGCCCCCCGCCGGCGCCUCGGAGCCCGACCCCAGCCCGAGCGCGGCGGACCGACCCGAGCGCGGCGGCCCCUGGCGCGCACCCAGCCGCUUGCGCUCCGGGCGCCCGGGGCUGCGCACCCGGGAGUCCGGAGCCACCCGGCCGCCCCCCGCCAGGCCCCUCCCCGCCUCCCGGCCGGCUCGUCCUCUGGCCCAGCCUUUCCCUGGCGCUCACCUCCCUCCAGCCUUCCGGGAGCUGGACGGGGCCUCUCGAGCUUCGGGCAGCUUGCGACAGUGGCCGGAGACUGCGGGAAUCCGAAACCUCGUUUCUGGCUAGCCUCAAGUUCUGGGCGCGCCCUAAGCGGCAGGGUCUUGACCAAGCCCCUUAACCUCUGUGGGCCUCUGUUUUCUCACCCGAGAAAGAAGGAUUCAGACAGCUCAGUGCCCGGCACAGCGUGGGUGGCUGAAGCGUUGGUGGAAUGAAUGAAUGAAGGGGCAUGGGCUGCAGCCUGUACCUUGCUGGGGCAGAGUGCUCAGUUCCACAGCACGCUAACUCGAGCGUGAGGCUUGCUGUCACGUGGAUGGUCCUGUUUGGAUGCUGGGACCGGUGCCCUCCACUCCAUGGAGUCUCUGGGGCUCAGCACGAGGACGGGCUCGGUAAACAUUUGGUGCUGAGAGUAGGCAGAAGGUGGCAGGGAUUUGUGGGGCUGAGCAGGAGUACAGAUGAAGGCUCACGUACCAUAUGUCUAAAUAUUUGCAAGUUAUAAAUCAAGCUAACAAAAUGUGGAAUAAAAUAUGUC